GGAUUGCCUUAGUAGCGGCGAGUGAAGCGGCAAAAGCUCAAAUUUGAAAUCUGGCGCCUUCGGUGUCCGAGUUGUAAUUUGAAGAUUGUAACCUUGGAGUUGGCUCUUGUCUAUGUUUCUUGGAACAGGACGUCACAGAGGGUGAGAAUCCCGUGCGAUGAGAUGCCCAAUUCUAUGUAAGGUGCUUUCGAAGAGUCGAGUUGUUUGGGAAUGCAGCUCUAAGUGGGUGGUAAAUUCCAUCUAAAGCUAAAUAUUGGCGAGAGACCGAUAGCGAACAAGUACAGUGAUGGAAAGAUGAAAAGAACUUUGAAAAGAGAGUGAAAAAGUACGUGAAAUUGUUGAAAGGGAAGGGUUUGAGAUCAGACUCGAUAUUUUGUGAGCCUUGCCUUCGUGGCGGGGUGACCCGCAGCUUAUCGGGCCAGCAUCGGUUUGGGCGGUAGGAUAAUGGCGUAGGAAUGUGACUUUACUUCGGUGAAGUGUUAUAGCCUGCGUUGAUGCUGCCUGCCUAGACCGAGGACUGCGAUUUUAUCAAGGAUGCUGGCAUAAUG
This 548-nucleotide ribosomal RNA is filed under the name Meyerozyma guilliermondii. RNAcentral describes it as "eukaryotic LSU rRNA". It matches the Rfam family "Eukaryotic large subunit ribosomal RNA", at positions 72 to 636 of the family's 3401-position model. Lineage: Eukaryota; Fungi; Ascomycota; Pichiomycetes; Serinales; Debaryomycetaceae. The record is from RNAcentral.